Molecule: long non-coding RNA, 331 nt
Organism: Rhincodon typus (whale shark)
Lineage: Eukaryota; Metazoa; Chordata; Chondrichthyes; Orectolobiformes; Rhincodontidae
Exons: 3
Source: RefSeq, a predicted model, not a curated record
ACUGCAUGGCUGAUUACGGUAUCCACCUUGAGAGUUCUGGCACUCAAUUAACUAAAAGAACAGCACUUCAAACAUACUUUCAGUCAAUUAGAGUUUAACCAUUCCAAGGAGGACCCUUCUUCAAAAUAGAUGUUGUGAAUUGGAAAAGUAAAAGAAACUGGAACCUGGAAGUCCUGCUGGACGACGUAUUGCUUAGGCCAUAUUCCCUCUUCCACCAGUAGAAAACAGCCUUUGACAUGGGAGAAAGAGCCCAGGAUCGGUUGAGGGGUAUCCAACUCCAGGCUCCUUACCUACUACAAGGAGGGAAGACCAGGACCACUCUUGUAGGCAC